UACGGAGGGUGCAAGCGUUAAUCGGAAUUACUGGGCGUAAAGCGCACGUAGGUGGUUUUCUAAGUCAGCUGUGAAAUCCCCGGGCUCAACCUGGGAAUUGCGUUGGAGACUGCAAGGCUGGAGUCUGGCAGAGGGGGGUAGAAUUCCACGUGUAGCGGUGAAAUGCGUAGAGAUGUGGAGGAACACCGAUGGCGAAGGCAGCCCCCUGGGUCAAGACUGACGCUCAUGCACGAAAGCGUGGGGAGCAAACGAGG
Molecule: ribosomal RNA, 254 nt
Filed under: uncultured bacterium
Lineage: Bacteria
Description: partial 16S ribosomal RNA
Rfam family: Bacterial small subunit ribosomal RNA
Source: RNAcentral